RNAcentral lists this transfer RNA (73 nucleotides) under Camelus bactrianus (Bactrian camel). It matches the Rfam family "tRNA". Rfam says of the family: Transfer RNA (tRNA) molecules are approximately 80 nucleotides in length. Their secondary structure includes four short double-helical elements and three loops (D, anti-codon, and T loops). RNAcentral also lists the same sequence under 1 other name. Lineage: Eukaryota; Metazoa; Chordata; Mammalia; Artiodactyla; Camelidae. The record is from Rfam by way of RNAcentral.
GAGGGUAUAGCUCAAGUGGUAGAGCACAUGUUUAGCAUGCAUGAGGUCCUGAGUUCAAUCCCCAGUACCUCCU